Molecule: long non-coding RNA, 533 nt
Organism: Mustela lutreola (European mink)
Lineage: Eukaryota; Metazoa; Chordata; Mammalia; Carnivora; Mustelidae
Exons: 3
Source: RefSeq, a predicted model, not a curated record
CUCGCGCUGUGCCAAGAAGUCUUUCUCUGACCAUCUGUAAUCCAUUCAGAGGCAACUGGCAGGAAAUGGCAGCAAGGAAAACCCCAGCGCCACGCAACUGGUGGGACCACCUCUCCUCGAGCUCCCGGCCAGCAACAGGAAGUCGGCCCUUCUCGGGACACAGAACAUCUGUGGGGGUUCUGGAAGCUGCCGGGUGGCUGUCAGGGGGCUCCACGGGCCCGAGACAGAUGCUCACAAAAUUUGGUUCAAUUAGACCACAAUUUCAAGUAGUUCAAAUCCGCUCGCUGUGGCUCCCCCUCCAAUCUGGCAUUGUCAGCUGCUUCUUCCUAUUAGUGAUGGUCUCACUUUUUGGCACUAAAAACAGAGGCCCUCAAUGCAUUGCAGUGGUGAGCUGGGUCCAGCAUGGACACGUGCAAGAGCCCAUUGUUAAAUUUUCAGGAAUAUGCAAGGAAGUCACUCUCGUCACCAAAGACCCAGUGAAGUUCCAACACACGUCUUUGUUCUUUCACUUUCAUCUUACCCACUGAUUUACA